Molecule: non-coding RNA, 73 nt
Organism: Trichonephila inaurata madagascariensis
Lineage: Eukaryota; Metazoa; Arthropoda; Arachnida; Araneae; Nephilidae
Source: the annotation of a GenBank genome assembly
GUUCCCUUAGCGCAAGGGGUAGCGUGUUGAAUUUUUAAUUCAAUGGUCGUGGGUUCGAAUGCCACCUGGGAUG